CAUAUGAUAACUAUUUCAGUGUUUCCCUUAUUUUCAGAAACAUGAUCCAACUCAAGAACUUGGCCACGUGAAACUUUGGGAUGAUGCUUCAAGCAUGUAACGUCUGAGAGUAAUUACACAGUUACUCUCUCGACUUCUUUGUCAGCAAAUAAAGGUAUAAUAAUUAUCCAAGAAAACCUUGACAGUUGGGUGGUGAAUUACCUCAUUGUAGACGUGUCGUCUAUAAACACUGUUGAAAAGCCGGGUUUCAAGCAACUGGUGUCUAGUCUCGCACCAAAUUUAGUUUUACGUGGACGCACAUUCUUCACCAAAAAAAUAGAGUUGGAAUUCACUGAACGAAGACAACAGUUGAUUGAUGUGUUAAGCAACUGUACAGACGCAGCAACGACGAUUGAGGCAUUGACGCAGAAGAUCAUAUAUCGGUGAGACUAUCCAUUGGUUUGUAGACGAAUCCUUAAAGCGAAGAAGUGCCUGUCUUCGCAUCCGCCGGAUAAAAGGUCAACAUACUUAUGAUGUCCUGACAACUAUAAUAGAAAACCUCCAUAAGGAGUACUCAGUUAUAGACAAAAUGCGUGGAGCCACAACCGAUAACGGUUCGAACUUCGUAAAGGCGUUCCAUGAGAGUAGUGAGGCAUCAAAUGUGCCAAAAUAUGAAGAUGAUGAUUUCGAACAAAGUGAUGAAGAAGAAGAAUUGUUAUAUUUCGAAAUUGGAGACCUAAUCGACGGUCGAAUCAGGAAAGACCAUCUGUCAAGCAAUGUAAAUCCCACUCUGCCGCUACAUCGCAGAUGUGCCUGCCACAUUUUAAGGUUAAUUGCAAAGGCUGACAUAUUGAAGAUUCCUGAUCCAACCUUUCAAGAAUUAAGUCAAGUUUUGUUAAUUCUGACAUUAUAUCAUAAUGCACCACAUUAGACAACUGUUCAUCUUAAAAAACGAGAUAAGAUGGAAAUCUGAAUACUCCGCCAUACGGUGCAUUGUCUGGCUCUUGAAGAAGAAUAGAUGCAUGAAGAAAUUUUUUCAUGAGCUUAGUUUAACUUUGUUUAUCCCUAACCAGGAACAAUACUUAAAGGAGUAUACCAAAGUAAUGUGAUAUUUUACCGAAGCAUUAGAUGAAUGGCAAGGGGAAAAGAAUAUUGGUUCGGGUUAUCUCCUUCCCACAAUUUCUCUUUAAAAAAAAUAAUCAGCUGCAAGACGAUGCAUCAAUCACACACUGCCAGUCACUAAUAACUGGAAUUCUUGAUGCGAUCCAUUAUUUGAACAUAUGUUUGCUGACAACGAGCUUCAUUUGGCAACACUUACCGAUCCUUUCUUUAAAUUGUCCUGGUUGGAUAAUGAAGAUGAAAUUAGACGCGCCAAAAACUUACUAAAGGGAGAAUACGUUCGCUUUCAAUGAAUAUCCAAUGAGACCAAAUCAUGAGUUCAGUGACGGAACAUGUUCGUCAAUUUCAGAUCCUAGCCCGGAAAAGAAACCAAAAUGUACUAAGGAUUUCUUUGCAUCAAUUACAAAAAAAAAUACUAAGACCAAAGUUAUUGAUGAAGUGGAGACUUUUUAGAAGUUAUGUGGGAAUUUCGACGAUCUAAGGAAUUAUCCAACGAUUAUGAAGAUGUAUAAGCCAUAUAACGUGACUUUGUCAUCUUCGGCCGCAGUCGAGAGGCUGUUUAGUCAAGGGGGAUUAAUAUUUACCCCAAACGACUAUAGUUGACAGCAGUGUUUCGGAUUUUUUUUUUUAAAUCAAAUCCAAAU
Molecule: long non-coding RNA, 1742 nt
Filed under: Daphnia magna
Lineage: Eukaryota; Metazoa; Arthropoda; Branchiopoda; Diplostraca; Daphniidae
Description: uncharacterized LOC123470217, transcript variant X2
Source: RNAcentral